Molecule: long non-coding RNA, 1829 nt
Filed under: Homo sapiens (human)
Lineage: Eukaryota; Metazoa; Chordata; Mammalia; Primates; Hominidae
Description: HSALNT0333263
Source: RNAcentral
UUUUUUUUGAGAUGGAGUUUCGCUCUUGUUGCCCAGGCUGGAGUGCAAUGGCACAAUCUCGGUUCACCGCAACCUCUGCCUCCCGGAUUCAAGAGAUUCUCUUGCCUCAGCCUUCCGAGUAGCUGGGAUUACAGGCAUGAGCCACCACAUCCAGCUAAUUUUGUAUUUUUAGUAGAGAUGGGGUUUCUCCAUGUUGGUCAGGCUGGUCUCAAACUCCCGACCUCAGGUGAUCCGCUCACCUUGGCCUCCCAAAGUGCUGGGAUUACAGGCGUGAGGCACCACGCCCAGCCACUCUCCUAUUUCAAACAUUUUUUUGCCUUUUAAAUGUCAGUUCAGGUUGACCACAGGGAAACUUUGUAACGACCAAUGGGUCAAGCUUCUGAGGCACUGGUUCUGGCCCCUUUUCCUCCUCUCUCCAACCCUCUCCCUCUUGUCCCUGUUCCCUGACUUCUCUUAGGUGUCAAAAACAAUCCAGGGCUCAUUUCAUCUCUGUACAUCCAUGUCACUCUCUCCUCCUUAACUCUUCAAAUAGUAUCUUUUUUUUUCCUUUUCUUAGAACCAUAUCUGGUGUGACAACAAUUUGAAAAGCGCCACCCAUCCUCUCUGAGACCACAAACAGCGCUGAAGGCAGUGAACCAAGACUUACAAACAAGGGUGUAGACCAAGGAAAAUGCUGGGGGCCAGAGGAGGAGAAAGCAAGAAGAUAGAAACACCAUAGUUUCAAGAGGGAGGGGAGCAGAAAGCCGCCAGCUCUCCAAAAAACAAGAAGCAAAACCCAGAACUCAAACCUCAUGAAAGUAUCACGAGGUUGAAGCCUUUAAAAGGUGUUUUUACAGCAGAUUUUAGAGACUUCUCACCUUACCAACGGUUAUAAACCCGUAUCCUUGCAAAUUCAGCAGUAGAGUCAUUAGAUUGCCCUCUCAGCCUCUGCACGUGAAGGGUCUCAGGGCUUUUCAGGACAUCUUUAGGGUCAGGUUUCGUGAAAUAGAAAAUAUGAUAUUAAGAAACGAGAAAAGGCUUUGCAGACGCCGCCGCCGAGGAAAACCGUGUGCUAUUAGCCAUGGUCAACCCCACCAUGUUCUUCGACAUUGCCGUCGACGGUGAGCCCUUGGGCCGCAUCUCCUUUGAGGUAAGGGGCCUGGAAACCAAGAAGUGACUGCUCAUCUAAUCCAUAAAGCUAUGUUAACAGAUUGGAGCUGUUUGCAGACAAGGUCCCAAAGACAGCAGAAAAUUUUCGUGCUCUGAGCACUGGAGAGAAAGGAUUUGGUUAUAAGGGUUCCUGCUUUCACAGAAUUAUUCCAGGGUUUAUGUGUCAGGGUGGUGACUUCACACGCCAUAAUGGCACUGGUGGCAAGUCACCACUGGGAGAAAUUUGAAGAUGAGAACUUCAUCCUAAAGCAUACAGGUCCUGAAAUCUUGUCCAUGGCAAAUGCUGGACCCAACACAAAUGGUUCCCAGUUUUUCAUCUGCACUGCCAAGACUGAGUGGUUGGAUGGCAAGCAUGUGGUCUUUGGCAAAGUGAAAGAAGGCAUGAAUAUUGUGGAGGCCAUGGAGCGCUUUGGGUCCAGGAAUGGCAAGACCAGCAAGAAGAUCACCAUUGCUGACUGUGGACAACUCGAAUAAGUUUGACUUGUGUUUUAUCUUAACCACCAGAUCAUUCCUUCUGUAGCUCAGGAGAGCACCCCUCCACCCCAUUUGCUUGCAGUAUCCCAGUAUCUUUGUGCUCUUGCUGCAGUUCCCUUUGGGUUCCAUGUUUUCCUUGUUCCCUCCCAUGCCUAGCUGGAUUGCAGAGUUAAGUUUAUGAUUAUGAAAUAAAAACUAAAUAACAA